RNAcentral lists this non-coding RNA (110 nucleotides) under Variovorax sp. PBL-H6. RNAcentral's name for it is "ALIL". It matches the Rfam family "ALIL pseudoknot". Lineage: Bacteria; Pseudomonadati; Pseudomonadota; Betaproteobacteria; Burkholderiales; Comamonadaceae. The record is from RNAcentral.
CGCGUUUUUCGCCCAGGCGGAGCUCGGCCAUCUCUGAAGUCUUGAUGGAGCUCAUCGGUCAGAACCGCCGCGAGGUCACGCUGAUCUGCAAGGUGUUGCAGGUCGCCCCA